This 253-nucleotide ribosomal RNA is filed under the name uncultured bacterium. RNAcentral describes it as "partial 16S ribosomal RNA". It matches the Rfam family "Bacterial small subunit ribosomal RNA", at positions 524 to 776 of the family's 1533-position model. The record is from RNAcentral.
UACGAAGGGGGCGAGCGUUGUUCGGAUUUACUGGGCGUAAAGGGCGCGUAGGCGGCGAUGUAAGUCAGGCGUGAAAGCCCCGGGCUCAACCUGGGAGGUGCGCUUGGGACUACGUUGCUGGAGUUCGGGAGAGGAGCGUGGAAUACCCAGUGUAGAGGUGAAAUUCGUAGAUAUUGGGAAGAACACCGGUGGCGAAGGCGGCGCUCUGGACCGAUACUGACGCUGAGGCGCGAAAGCGUGGGGAGCAAACAGG